CAGUUUUCCCUUAAUGAAAUGACAAUCAACUUUAACAUGCCUAGUUUAGUCAUGUUAACUAGAUUGUGAGCUAUAUCGAUAUCCAACUUCUUGUUACCGUAGAACUUCAUAAGGUCUUCCCAACUUAUUAUAAGAUCACUACAAAUAAUUUUAUCUAGAGAAGCUCACAUAGCCUAUGCGCCAUGGCUUGAAAUUCUACUUUGUAACUUCGCUUAAUAGCCACAUACUAUUUCUUACUCCUCCAAGUUAUUGAAUUCCCUUCUAAGCACGUAAAGUAAUCAUAUGUUGAGAUCUUGUCAAUGAUUAAUUUUACCUAAUCAACAUUGAUAUAAACCAUAAGUGUCAUCUUCAUAGUUUUCGAAAAAAAAUACCACUUCCAAAAGUUAACUUCAAGUAACUAAGUAAUCAAGUAACCACCUUCACGUGUACCUUCGUAGGAUUGUGCAUAAAUGACUCACCACACUCACAACAUAUGUUAUAUCAGGUGUAGUAUGUGGUAGGUAACUUAACUUAUCUACCAAUCUUUGAUACCUUUUUUUCUCUACUGGAGGAAUCUUAGAAUCCUUCAUCAAGCUUGUGACCAGCCUCAAUUGGUGUAUCUACCUACCUACACCUACUAGUCUUGUUUCUCUCAGGAUAUCUGAAAUAUACUUCUAUUGUGAAAUCACAAUUCCUUCAUUUAAUUGAGCAACUUUAAUACUUAGAAAGUAUUUAAAUCUUUCUAGGUCUUUAAUUUGAAACUCUUUUUUCAACUUCUCUUUUAAUUUUCCUAUUUCUUCUAAAUCAUCUCCUGUCACAACAAUAUCAUCAAUGUACACAAUGAGAGUAGUUAUUUUUCCAUUCACAAAGUAUUUAGCAAACAAUAUGUGAUCUCAUUGGCUCUGGAUAAAAUUCAAGCUCUUCAUUGUCUUAAAAAAAACCUUCCAAACCGAACUCGAGAGAUUAGUUAAGCCCAUAUAGAGCCUUCUUCAAUCGACAGACCUUGUUUCCCUAAACAUUUUCUUCUAUACCAGGUGGUUUCUCCAUAAAAACCUUCUUUAAAUUCUCAUGAAGGAAUACAUCUUUACAUCAAACUAUUGCAAAGGCCAAUCAAAGUUAGUAACAAGGGACAACAACAACAAAUAGCACUCAUCUUUGCCACCAAAGCAAAGGUUUCUUCAUAAUCUAUCACAUAAGAUGAAUAUAUCCCUUAACUACCAUUCUUACCUAAUCCUACUCAAGUGUCUCAUUUGGAACCUGAUCCAUUCAUGAAACGGUUACCACAUUGUCAUAAUAAAGGUAUUCCUAAACCCACAUAUGAACCUGAAUUGUCUACCAAAGUCAAAUAUCUCAUAAGCAACUAUGUGUCUAACCAUCGUUUGCCUAAAUCAAAUAAGUCAUUUGUAAAUCAAUUAUCUACUAUAGCUAUUCCUAAGAGUGUGCAGGAAGCCUUAGCUGAUCCAAGGUGGAAAGCAGCCAUGAAUGAAGAGAUGAAAUCAUUGCAGAAGAAUGAAACAUGGGAACUCGUAGAAUGUCCACCAGGAAAGAAGCCAGUUGGGUGUCGUUGGAUCUAUUCUGUGAAGUAUAAGGCAGAUGGUAGUAUUGAAUGAUUUAAAGCAAGACUGGUAGCAAAAGGGUACACUCAAACUUAUGGAAUUGACUACAUAGAGACAUUUGCACCUGUAGCUAAAAUCAACAGUAGUCUUUAGCUGCAAACCUAGAUUGGCCAUUACAACAGUUCGAUGUGAAAAAUGUCUUUCUGCAUGGCGAGUUAUCUGAAGAAGUAUAUAUGGAUCUUUCACCAGGAUGCAUGGUGUCAGAAAAGCAAUGUCAGAAGGUGUGCAAAUUGAAGAAGUCAUUGUAUGGGUUGAAGCAAUCCCCGAAAGCAUGGUUUGGAAGGUUCACAAAAUCAAUGAGAGCUUUUGGCUAUCGUCAAAGUAAUUCAGAUCACACUUUGUUCUUGAAAAAGCAACAUGGUAAGAUUACGGCACUUAUCGUAUAUGUGGAUGACAUGGUAGUUGUGGGAAAUGAUCAUGAAGAAAGAAAAGCUUUGCAAAAUUAUCUAUUUAGAGAAUUCGAAAUGAAAGAUCUAGGUCCUCUGAAAUACUUUCUUGGGAUUGAAGUCUCUCGAUCAAGUGAAGGAAUUUUUGUCUCAAAGAAAGUAUGCCUUAGAUCUUUUACAAGAGACUGGAAUGUCGGGAUGUCAACCUGUUAAUACACCAAUAGUAGAAGGUCUGAAAUUGUGUGUUGAGUCUAAUCAAGUAUCAACUGAUAAGGGAAGAUACUAGAGACUUGUGGGGAGAUUAAUGUACUUAGCUCAUACAAGACCAGAUCUUGCUUAUGCAUUGAGUGUAGUGAGUCAAUACAUGCAUAAUCCUGGAGAGCAACAUAUGAAUGCAGUCAUGCGUAUUUUGAGGUAUUUGAAGAAUGCUCUUGGGAAGGGAAUUUUGUUCGCUAAAAAUGUUAAUCAUCAGAGUAUAGAAGUAUAUAUUGAUGCUGAUUGGGCCGGUGCAGUGGAUGAUAUGCGAUCUACAUCUGGUUACUUUACCUUUGUAGGUGGUAAUAUUGUGACAUGGAAAAGUAAGAAGCAGAAUGUCGUCGCUUGUUCAAGUGCAGAAGUGGAAUUUAGAGGUAUGACUCUAGGACUUUGUGAGGCAUUAUGGCUAAGACUCCUCUUACAGGAUUUAGGUUACCUAUCUAGGCAACCAAUCCGAUUGUUUUGUGACAAUAAAGUCGCAUGUGACAUUGCUCAUAAUCCAAUACAACAUGAUUGUACAAAGCAUGUCGAGGUGGAUAGAUUUUUCAUUAAGAAAAAGUUGGAUGAUAAGAUUGUGGAAUUGCCUAAGAUUCGAUCAAAAAAUCAAUUGGUCAAUAUCCUCACCAAAGCUGUCUCAAGUCAAUUGUUCUCAAAAUUUUCAGACAAGUUGGGCAUGUGUGACAUCUAUGCACUAACUUGAGGGAGAGUGUUGAGAUAUUAUGAAUGUUUUCCUUAUAUCAUUCUUUCCUUAUAUCAUUUAGUGUUGAGAUAUUAGGAAUGUUUAGAUAUUAGGAAAGUUGAGAUAUUAGGAAUAUUGAGAUAUUAUGAAAGUUGAGAAAUUAGGAUAUUAGUUGUUAUUUCCUUAUAUCAUUCUUUCCUUGUAUCAUUCUUUCCCAUUCUUAGAAUGGUGAUUACCUUCUAUAUAUACUCUAUACAUGAAUGAAUGAAAGAAUAAAUGAAAAACUACCAUUUAUCAAUUUGAAAAUUACUAUAAACACCCACUUACACCUAACUUGUUUAUUUCAAGUAAGUAGAUCCACAAUUUCCAAACUAUUUUUUUUUUCCAAUGCACUUAUCUCCUCUUGCAUUGUCUUCCUCCCCUUCUCAUCCUCUUUAGUACCUCUUGAAUAGUUUUAGAUAUGUUGAAGGAGAUAAAUUUAGUAACAAAUUCAUUGUGAGAUGCAAAAAUGAUAUCAAAAUAAACAAAUUUUAUCAAAAGGUGUUGAAUUCAAUGUUUUUUUCCUUUUCUAACAGCAAUAGGUAAAUUAAGAUCAUCAAACACAUUGGAACUAUACUUAAGUUGAAUUUCAAUACCUUCUUCCAAGUUGAUAAUUGGAGCAGCAUUCAAAGGUUCAAGAGCAAACUAUAUAAUGGGGGCCACAUAUACUCCCAAAAGCAUAAACUAAUAGGGAAUAAAGGUAGCCCUGCAUAUAAGGCCUAACCAACGUCGGUAAUCAACUAAUGUGGGACAUUGAACUUCUAUUCGUCCUAUGUCAGACACUCCCACCCAAUUGUUAACAUCCACAUCAAUGAGCACAAGGUGAGUUAGGACAAACCUCACUCUUAUACCAUGAGCUUUGGAGAAUCAGAAUUCAUUAAUUCUAAGAAUUGAGAAAUUACAUAUAAAAACAUAAAGACAAUCUCAUAAAAUACUCAACAACCUAACAAACCCAAAACUAACCGGAUUUGAUGAAAUAGAACAAUUAGAAAAAUAAAACCUAAAUCUUAUCCCUAAAAAAUAGGAAUUCGAAUUUCUUUCCCAACUAACUCUUAAAUCUUUGAUUCUUAACUAACUCCUAAAUUUUAGACACUCUUCCUUAAGUUGGUGCAUAGAUGUCUAUCAUUCCCAAUUUGUUGACAAAAAACUCGAAGUUAGACCUUAGGAGACCCUUGGUUAGGAUGUUUGUUAUAUGUUGCAUUGUAGAAAAAAAAAACAUAUUUCACCAACCUCAAGUUUUUCCUUCAUGAAAUGUCUAUCAAUCUCAAUAUGCUUUAUCUUGUCAUGUUGUAUUGUAUUGUGUGCAAUAUUGAUGGCUAUUUUGUUGUCACAAUACAAUUUCAUAAGAAGAAUAUUGAGUCUCCUUAGUUAUUUUAGGACACGUUUCAACCAUAACAUCUCACAAAUUCCAUGUGCUAUGGCUUUGAACUUUGCUUCAACACUGCUUCAUGCCACCACACUUUGCCUCUUGCUUUUCCAAGUAACCAGAUUACACCAUACAAACAUAUAGCACACAAAGGUAGAUCUUCUAUCAAUGAUUGAUUUUGCCUAAUUAGCAUUAGUGUACACCUCAACUCUCUGCUCAUUCUUUUUUAAAAAUAAUCCUUUUCCUGGAGUACUUUUCAAGUACCUUAUAAUCUUAUAGAUAGUUUUAAGGUGUUCUUCGUGUGGAGAGUGCAUGAAUUGACUUACCAAUCUCAUUGCAACAACAAUGUUUGGUCGAGUGUGUGAUAGGUAUAUCAAUUUGUCAACCAACUUCUAAUAUCAUGUUGUAUCUACAAGUGUCUCUCUGUCAUUUUUUUUCUUAGCUUCAAGUUGUAUUCUAUAAGAAUGUCAGUCGGUCUACGACCACUCAUACUUGUUUUUUUUUUAAGAUCAAGAAUGUACUUUCUUUGUGAAACGACGAUGCCUUUCUUGGAAUGUGCAACUUCCAUUCCAAGAAAGUACCUCAAUGACCCCCAAGUCCUUAAUCUCAAAUUCAAAAUCUAGAAUCAUCUUUAACAUUUUUGUCUCAAGCAAGUCAUUUUCAAUGAGAAUAAUAUCGUCCACAUGGGCAAUUAACAUAGUUAUCUUCCCUUCAAGUGAGAACUUCAUAAAUAAGACAUGAUCAGUUUGUCCCUCAAUAUAUCCUUGUUUCUUUACAGAUUGAGUGAAUUUAUCAAACCAUGCCCUAAAAAAUUGUUUAAGUCCAUAUAAUGACCUUUUUAGCUUGCAAAACUUUGAUCAAAAUCUUUUGGUAAAGCUAAAAAAAUAGUCCAUAUAAACUUCUUCUUCCAAAUCCCUAUUGAGAAGUGCAUUUUUCACAUCCAACUAUUACACCGUCAAUCCAAAUUUGCAACAAUUGAUAAGAGCACGACCAUUGUGUUUAGCUUGGCUACUGAAGUGAAUGUUUCUAAAUAGUCAAUAUCAUACUUCUAAGUGAAUUCCUUUGCUACUAGUUAAGCUUCAUAUUUUUCUAAAGAGUUGUCAAAGUUUUAUUUCAUUGUAAAGACCCAUUUGUAGCUAAUCAUGGACUUUUCUUCAAGCAAACUCAUUACUUCCUAAGUCUUAUUCUUUUCAAAAACUCUCAUCUCUUCAAGAACAACUUCCUUCCAUUCAGAAACAUUAAGAGCAUCCUGUAUAUUUUUAGGAAUGUCUAUUCUAGAAAGUUGUGAAGUAAAUGCAAGAAGAGAAUGAGACAAUUUUUCAUUGGACACAAAGUUAGACAAAGGAUAUUUAGUGCAUUGUCUAGUACCUUUACUACAAGCAACUAGAACAUCUAAAUUAUUAAUAGACUCAAUUUAGGAAUUAGAAUAAUUGGACUAGACACGAAUUUACCUCAAUGAUUGACGAAAAUCAAAUAUGUUCUCGAGAUAGGCUCUUGGGGCUACUACAAAGUGGACUUUUUUUUUUUUACUUUGUUCAAGGUUCUUCCUUGAAUAGACAAUGAACUCAUUUGCCUUGUUUUUUUGGUUUCUCACAUAUUUCAAGUUCUAUGUGAUUUUUUAAGGGCAUAAUAAUCCAUUAUCCAUUCAUUUUAGUAGUUAACCUAUUUACUUCCAGGGUUAUCCUGGGCAUUCUUGAAGUAAGGUUUAAGUUAGGCGUGAGUAUUUCUGAAAUAGGAGUUGCCACGAGUAUUGGUGCUUUUAAAGGUGAUUGAGCAGAUUUUUUUUUUAAAAAAUUUAGGAUAAGCAUCACAAAAGGUGUUUCUAUGUGGAAAUUAGUAAAGAAAGAAUCUUCAUUGUAACUCUCUCCCUCAAGAUGAUGAUUAAAACCUUUUCUUUUUUUUUUUUGUUUAAAAAAAUGUGACAUCCAUGGUAACAAACAUUUAAAAAAAAAAUUGGAUCAGAACAAUCGUAUCAUUUUUUUUGUUGGAGAAUAACCAACAAAAAUGCAUUUUUUAACUCUUGAAUCUAGUUUUCCCCAAUUAUGAUUGUGAAUGUGGACAAAUGCAACACAACAAAAAAUUUUAAAAGGAAUAUGACCAAAAUUCUUGAUGAGGGAAAACACUUUUUGGAAAAAUAUGAAGGUGUUUGAAACUAAAAAGCCCUUGAUGGUGUUUGAUUGAUCAAAUAGGUGGUUGUAAUAAUAGUCUCCCCCUAUAAAUAUUUAAGGACCUUAGUUGUAAAGAUUAAAGAUCUAGCAAUAUCAAGAAGGUGUUUUUUUUUUUUCCCUUUCAGCCACCCUUUUGUUUAUUAGGAGUAUCAUUUGCACAAUACCAUUUUUCUCUAAGUAUUUCCCUAGGAUUUGAUUAAAAUAUUCCUUCCCAUUGUGACUUCAAAAAAUUUAAAUGUUUGUUUGAAACUGAGUUUAUACCAUGUUGUGAAAAAAAUUGAAAACCUAUUUAGGCUUUCCUUUUAGUAAAUGUAUCCAAGGCAUGUGAGUAUGAUCAUCAAUGAAAGUGAUAAACUAUCUUUUUUCUAAGUGUGGAAAUCUUAGAUUGACCCCAAACAUCACUAUGAAUCAUAGAAAAAGGUUUUGAUGUUUUAUAUGGUUGUGAAGGGAAUAAGUUAUAGUGGUGUUUUGCUAACUCACAAAUUUCACAUUAAAAUGAAGAUGGACUUUUAUUAAUGAAAAGUUUUGGAAAAGAAUAUUUUGAAUGCUAAAAGCUUGGAUGUCUUAACCUAAAAUUUCAUAAUAGAAUUUCAUUAUUCCUAAUACCAGAAAUAGACUUGAAGCAAGUACUUUGAGGUUAUCCCUUCAAGUUAGAUCCAUCUUUAAAGAAGUAAAGUCUUUCACUUUGUUUAGCCCUGUCAAUCAUGUUCCCUAAGUACAAAUCUUGAAAUUCACAUUGAGAAUGGGAGAAAUUAACUUGACAAUUUUGAUCAUGAAUUAGUUCAUUGACAUACAAAAGAUAAUAUGACCAAUUAGAAACAUGAACAACAUUAUGAAGAGUAAGAGAGAAAAAAAGAACUAUGAAUUCUUUUCCCAUAAUAGGCAAAAGGGAUCCUUAAGCUAUUUUAAUUUUUUAAUUCUUUGCACAAGUUUUGUAAAAAGAAAAUAGAUUGGAAGAUUUGGUCAUGUGAUUAAUUUCACUAGUAUCGAUGAUCCAAGGAUGACUAGAAGUGUAAUUAACACUAACAAGAACGACUAUGAGGUAAUUACUUUUUUAUGCUAAUAAACAUGAGGGAGACAAGUUAGAGUUUACAAUGAAAGGGGCAGAUUGAAGCAACUUAUACAGGCGUUCUAGUUGAUCCUUAAUGAAAGAAAGCAUUUCUAAAGUAGCUUGUUGCCUUUGAUCAGUAUUGGAAACCUGGAAAGCUCUAUCAUCUUCACUUGUCUUCUUUUUCCAAUUUUGAGGCUUCCCGUGCAAUUUCCAGGUCUCACAAGUAUACAAGCGUUUUUGUAGUGACUGUACUAAGGCUUCUUUUUUUCUUCAUCAAUCUCUAUCUUAGUUAAGUCUCUUCAAUACAAGAGAAGAACCUUCUAUAUCAAUAUUUAGUCAUUGUUCUCCAUUUAGCAUCACAUUUCGUUGAGUCUUCUCUUUUCAUACCUUAAAGAAAACUUCUUUGAUGGAUGACAAUGGUUUUCUACCUAGAAUCUAGCCUUUAAACUUGUCCAAAUCCUUGUUAAGUAUCACAGAACAUGCAUAAACUCUGUCAUUUUCCAUUUGCUUCAUAUAUUUCAUAUUGUCACUAGGACAAUCCCAUUUCUCAUCAUAAUAUAAAUCCAACUCUUGCCACAGAGUCAUGAUCUCAUUGUAAUAAAUGAUCACCUCUCGGUCUCCUUAUUUGGAUUGGCAUAGCUUCAUCUUUAACUCAAAUAUUUGGGAAGAAUUUUCCAAAUUUGAAUAGGUGUCACAAAUGGCAUCUCAAACUUCUUUGGUUGUCAAUAAGAACUAUUAGGACAUUGAGUCUUGUUUAUAUGUUGGCAAUUUUGUUCCAAUUUAUGUAUGGUCAUAGAAGUCUUUCUAGAUAGUGACUUAGUUUCCAUUGAAGGUCAAGGGUUGUUGUUUGUCCAAUCAGUGACUCAUAGAUAUGUCUAAAAAGAUUUGGCUUGUAGCAUAUAAAAGCUUAUUUGAGGUACAAAAGUUUUGGUAUCAUUUUUGAGUUUAAAAUGUUUUUAAAAAUGAUUUUUCAAAAAGAAAUGGAUGCUUAAGUGGUAUAAGUCCUUUUAAGCCGUCAUAACAGUUCUGCCGAGUUUAGAAAUGUAUUUUGAAUGAAUUUAAAUCCAACUCUAAUUUUGAAACUUAAAAUACUGAAAUUCCUAUGGUUUUUGCCUAUAAAUACCUCUCUUGUAACUCUUUGAGGAUUAGAGAUCAAGAUCAGUAAAAUCAUAGAGAUCUUAGAGUUUGUUAGAGACCUCUCAUUCUUUAGAGGUACUCUUUGAAGAAAAAUCCUAAUUUGUCAUAUUAUUCUCGUUCUUUCAUUCAAUGAUUCAAUUCUUUGAAUUUUUGGUUGAAGACCGUAAUCCAUUCGGAGGGAUUGAAGGAUCUAUUAGGGAGCAACAGGUAGUUGUUGUGUCGCGUACAUAAAUCAAGUUGUAGGUACUAAAGAGUAAGUCUUUAGGAUAAAACGGUCAAAUGAAUCUCUGUGACUUGAUUUCAAAUAGUGGAUUUCGAUUAAUAGGUCUUAGACCUUGUGGUUUUUUAUCUUCACAGUUUAUAAGGGUUUUCCACGUAAAAAUUUUGUGCCUCAUUAUCUAUCUCUUUAUAUUUGAUAUUACGUUUGAAUUGUCUAGAAUAAGUUAAUUUGUUUUAACAUAAUAUCUUGCAAGGUUAUUCUAAGAAGUUUAUAUUUAUUCUUGCAUAUAUUCUGGUUGAAGAUAUUGAAUAUAUUGGAUUGAUUGGUUAAUUGGUUGUUGAGUUUGUUGGGUUGGUUUUUCUCGUGGUUAUUAUUAUCUCUAACGUUUUUCAACAUAUAUUGUUAAUCUUUAGAUAUCAAUUAACCAUAAAAAUCAUAUUUUUAUUGGGAUGAAAUCCUUUUAGAAUAUCUAGAUUAUCCCUAUAAUAUCUUAGGAUAAGAAAAAGUAAUUAUAAUUCAUAAAUAUUAAAUUAAUUUUUUAAAUCACUCAUUCACCCCCCUUUGGGUGUUCCCUAUUGGACUUUCAGUUAUUCAAGGGGUAUUCAGAGGAAUACCCAUAUUUUUUCAAGUACAUAUAAGGUUUCCUAAUUGUUAUUUCCAUAGAAUUGAUGAGCCAAGUAAUCACCUUGGAAUUUUUUAGACCUCCAAAUUUUCAAAGUCGGAUUGUUUGUUGCUAGUUUCAUUACUUCAUCGGUCAAAUGGCCAAGUUUCCCUUUACAACCAAUCACCAGUUUCACACACUAGGCUUAUUCUAGGUCAUUUUUACAAUUCAAUUUGUGAAUGGUUAAUUGUAGAGAGGAAUUCAAAUUGGUAUAAUCAAAUUGUUAGAAUAGUGUCAAGGAGAUAGUUCGAGUCUUGUCCACAUCUCCUCCUAAAGUGGCCAAGCCUUUAGUGGCUCUAAUCAUGAAGGUUAUUACCAUUUGAAAAUUUUUCGAUCAAGACUCAAAACUCAAGCUUUGAUAACAUGUGAGCUUUUGAUAAUCAAAAUUAAUUGAUUAUGACAAUUGAGAAAUUACAAAUAAAUAAGGAAAGAUAAUCCCGUAAAAAACUCAACAACCUAACAAAUGCAAAACUAAUUGGAUUUGAUGAAAUAGAACAAUAAAAAAAUAAAAAAUAAAUAAAUAACCUAGAUCUAUACAAAAUAGGAAUUCGAAUUUCUUUUUGAACAAACUCCUAAAUCUCUGAUUCCUAACUAACUACUAAAUCUUCGAUACCAAAUUAUGUGGGACCACAUUCCCAAAAGCUUAAGCUAAUGAGGAGUAGAGGUAGCCCAUAUAUAAGGUCCAACCAAUGUUAAUCAGUCGAUGUGAGAUAUUGGACUUUUGUUCGUCCAAUGUCACUAUAAAAGCCCCAACCAACCUUAAAUAGCAUAGCAUAGCAUAUCUUUUCCCUUUUCUCAUUUAUAUGACGAAACUAAGAAUAACAUAUUGCGGAUCCAUGGGUUUACAGUCAGUGGGCUCAAGUAAGCCAUGAGGAUGACUAAAGGAACAACUCAAAAAGCUUGGAACAACAACAGGUACUAGUUCAAAGUAGGGCUUAGAAGCAAUUUUCGGAUAUGAAAUAGACAAACUGGGAUCUUUUGCAAAUAGCUCCCCUUGAAGAUAAGGUUGAGAAAAAAAAUGUUCAUUUUCAUGAAAGGUAACAUCUAUUAAUAAGAAAAUUUUAUUAGAAGUUGAAUGAUACCACUACAUCUCUUUUUGUUUAUUAAGAAUGGCCAACAAAUACACACCUAAGGGCUUUUGUACCAAAUUUUGUUCUUUGGCAAGCAUGAAUAUGAAGAAAUGUUACAAAACAAAAAAUUAUGGAAGGUAUACAACUUGUAGUCAUCAAAUUGGGUAUAUAAAUUACAAAGUUAACUCACAGGUGAUUGGAAGUCAAGAACUCAAAAGAAUAAUUUGUUAAUAAGAUGAAUCGCAGUAAGGACAACUUACCCUCAAUAGGUUUUGGGAAUAUUCAUUUGGAAAAUCAACGUUUUAGUAAUUUCAAACAAAUGUCUAUUUUUUCUCUCAACUAUCCCAUUUUGGUAUGAAGUAUCAUGACAAGAAGCAACAUGUAUGAGAUAUUUUUAUGUGAAGUAUUAUUUGGGAGGACUUCUUAAAUGCUAAAAGCAACAUUUGAAUCCUAAAAGUAACUUUUAAAGAUAUUUCAAUAAAAUUCCUAACCAUAGACUCCAUAUAACCAACGUGAUUAACUUGCAUUUUGAAAAAGCAGGAAACUUCCUACUUUUAAUCAAACAAAAUGUGAGAAAAGGUAUUAGAGUUUAAUGAAAUUCUUGAAAAUGUUAUAGUUGUCCUUUUUUUUAUGAAAGCACAUCUAAAACAUAGUUCUCAUGUGCAAAAUUAGCAAUACAAAAAUAGCUUUGUCUUCUACCUUUUACUAAAAGCUACCCCAAAUGGGCACUAGAUGUUUGCCACUAAGAAGAUAAACAACCAUAGAUCCCACACUACAAGAUAAUAAAAAAAUAUAUACAUCAUCAACAAACUACUUACUAGCCCGACAAAAAGUGUGCUUGUUGGGGCUAGUCAUAAUUAGGGAUUAAAAUUUUAGGAAAUAUAGUCGAUAUUUCAUCAAAAUUUGAAUGUAUCAACUAAUAACGAUACAAAAAUUUGGAAAAAAAAAAUCCUAACGAUUUUCAAAGAAAAUAGGGCAAAAUUAAUUUUCUAUUAAAAUCGCUAAUGGUUAGAAAUUUUAUAUGAAGGCCAAAAUUGCUCUUAGAGGCGAUUUAACAACUAUGAACGUUCCUCAAUGACUAUUUACUGAUCUAAUGGCCAUAUUUCAAUCUAGAUACAAUUCAAAGGUUGGAAAUGUUUUCUAAUAGUUAUUUGGCAUCCCAACGACUAAUUUGGUCUAAAAUUUUCCUAUAAAUACCUCAGUUUUAUCUCAUUUCAUCCACAAUUCAUUUGAAAUCCUUUUUACUCUCACAUUGCUCCAAAUUCUUAUGUGAUUACUCAUAAAAUAAAUUUUAUAAUUUUGGGAAUUUUGUUGAAAUUGUAAAUUAACUAUAACCAAGGUUAAAAAAAUCAGGAUAUAUCCUCGAUAUUAGGAUAUUGGUGGAUCCUGACACGAAAUAUGGGAAAAUAUAUCGAUAUUUUCAAUUUUUUUUUUCACAUUUAUUGGGAUUUUUUUUCCUAUUUCCACCAAAUUUUUACCAAGUUAUCAAGAUUUUCCCAAUUUUUUUAUAGGUCAAAGCAAGAUUUGGUCAAAAUGAACCUUUAUGCCACUAGGGCAAACAUGCCUUUAUUGAAGAUGAUGGCCCACAUCUUAUAUAUUUUAUGUUUACACCUAAAUUUUAUAUAUAUUUAAAAAAAUGAAAUAUUAAAAUAAAUUUGUAAUAAAUUUAUUAAUUUUAAUUAUUUCUUUUUAAAUUCCAUUUAACUUAUUAUUGAAUGCACAAAAAUCACGAGUUAAAUACAAAAAUAUAUAAUUUGUAAAUAAAAUUAAAAAUAUUUUUAGAAAUAUUUUUCAAAAAGUUAGAAAUAAUUUUAGCAUAUUUGUAUAUAUAAAUUUAAUAAAACUAUAUUUUUUAGGAACAACUCAAGAAGACAUAAAGGAACUCACAAUAUAUCUCCAUCAAUUAGAACAAUUGAAAUUAUGUAACCUUUCGUAUAUAAAAGAAUAUGAACAAAAAUUUAGAAAAUAUGCAAUCCUUGUUAGAGUAGAUAGAACCCCUGAAUAUUUAAAUAAAUAUAUAUUAAAAAUACAAGGACCUAUAGGACUUAGAUUAUGGAAUAAAUUUUCAACAUUUGAAUAUAAAAACUCUCCUUAUAUAGGUGCUAGAAUAGAAUUUGUAAAAAAUUGGUUAGAAAGAGAAUGUGUAAGUAUAGGAGAAAGAAGUCAAAUAAAGAAACAAGAUAUAAAUCAACUUUGUAGAAAAUUACAUAUAGGAGAAAAUCUAGAUAUAGGAUGUAGAGAAUAUAAGUUCAAAAAACCUAAGAACUACAAUAAAUUUUUAAGAAAGUCAAAAACCUUUUCUAAAAAACGACCUUAUCAAACAAGAUAAAAAAACCUGAAAAGUUUUGGAUAAAAAGAAAAAGAACUAAGAAAAUAAAAAGACAGUGUAAAUGUUAUUUGUAUGGUUAAGAAGGUCAUAUAAGACCUGAAUGUCCUGAACUUAAAAAACCAUGAAAUGAACGAAGUAUAAAAACCCAAGCAAAAAUCAACCUAAUAAAUGAGUAUCAGGUAGAUAGUGAAGAAGAAGAACUCAUUAGUGAAUUAGAUUUUAAAAGUGAAAAUUCAAGUGUAUAUAGUAUAGAUGAUAGUGAAACUAAAAGAGAAAAAAAUUGUAUGAUUAUUGAAAAAAAAAAUCAACCUAAGAAAACUUCUUGAAAUUUAGAAAAACUUGUACAACCUUUAGAAAGUAAAAUAAAUCCUUAUAAUUUGUGGAAAGAUUUACAAAUAAUAAUUAAUGAAAAAUCUCAAAAGAAGAGAAAGACAAUUCAAACUCUAAAGAAAUUUUUUUUAAAAAAAAAAAACAAUAAGUCAUGUAAAAACAACUAUACAAACAAUAGGACAAGUAAAUACGGCAAAUAAAGUUAAAUCUAUCAUUUUCCCAACAACAAUUAAAUUAAAAACCAUAGAAUCAAAUGUAAAUGCAAUGUUAGAUACUAGAGUCAGUAAAAACCUUUUAUUUGAAACUUUAGUAUCUCAGGAAGACCAAUAAACACUAUUCAACCAAUAGAAUUAGUCCAAUAUAAUCAACAAAAACUAAUAUUAACCAAGUAUAUUUCAAAUGUACCAAUCAUAAUUAACAACAUAACCUUAGUGUUACCUCAAACUUAUCUUGUAGCUACUAUAAGUUAUAUCCUUUCAUUUUAGGUUUAAAUUUUUUACAUUCUUUACAAGGAGAGAUAACAAUACAAAAUAACCAAGUUAGUUUUCAUCCUAAAACCAAUACAAAAUUAUGAUAUGAAUCGGUCAUUUCCAUAUAAACCUAGUUUUUGUUGGGAAAAUGAUAGAUUUAACUUUAUUUGUUGUAUUUACUUGUUCUAUUGUUUGUUUAGUUGUUUUUACAGGACUUAUUGGUUCUUUUAUUUCUUUAGAGUUUGAAUUGCCUUCCUCUUCUUCCGAGAUUUUUCAUUUAAUUAUUAUUUAUAAAUUUUUCCACAAUAUAAGGAUUUAUUUUACUUUCUAAAGGUAGUACACGUUUUUCUAAAUUUAAAGAAGUUUUCUUAGGUUGAUUUUCCUUUUUUUCAUUAUUCAUACAAAUUUCUUCUCUUUCGGUUUCACUAUCAUCUAUACUAUAUACACUUGAAUUUUCACUUUCAAAAUCUAAUUCACUAAUGAGUUCUUCUUCUUCACUAUCUACCUGAUACUCAUUUAUUAGGUUGAUUUUUGCUUGGGUUUUUCUACUUCGUUCAUUUUUUGGUUUUUUAAGUUUAGGAUAUUCAGGUCUUAUAUGACCUUCCUGACCAUACAAAUAACAUUUACACUACCUUUUUAUUUCCUUAGUUCUUUUUCUUUUUAUCCAAAACUUUCUAGGUUUUUUAUAUCUUGUUUGAUAAGAUCGUUUUUUAAAAAAGAUUUUUGACUUUCUUCUUAAAAAUUUAUUGUAGUUCUUAGGUUUUUUUGAACUUAUAUUCUCUACAUCCUAUGUCUAGUUUUUCUCCUAUAUGUGAUUUUCUACAAAGUUGUUAAUUUACAUUUUGUUUCUUUAUUUGGCUUCUUUAUCCUAUACUUACAAAUUCUCUUUCUAACCAUUUUUUUACAAAUUCUAUUCUUGCACUUAUAUUAGGAGAGUUUUUAUAUUCGGAUGUUGAUUCAUUCCAUAUUCUAAGUCCUACAUGUCAUUGUAUUUUUAAUAUAUAUAUUUAUUUAAAUAUUCAGGGGUCCUAUCUACUCUAGCAAGGAUUGCAUAUUUCCUAAAUUUUUGUUCAUAUUUUUUUAUAUACGAAAGGUUAUAUAAUUUCAUUUGUUCUAACUUAUGGAGAUAUAUAGCAGGUUUCUUUAUAUCUUCUUGAGUUGUUCCUAAAAAAUAUAGUUUUAUUAAAUUUAUGAAUACAAAUAUGCUAAAAUUAUUUCUAACUUCUUGAAAAUAACUAUUGUUUUCUUGUUUCAUGUUUCUAAAGAAUUGUAAUACGAUUCCUCCAAGGGUGCUUUUACAAAAUUCAUAAAUUUCUUGUUGAUUUUCAAAUGAUACUACUACACCAACCGGAUUUAAGGAUUGUUCCCAAUUUUCUAUGGUUUUCUUAUGGUCUUAUGUAUUAUCUAUGUCUAAUAUUGUUCCAUAUUCAUAUAUUGGUUGUAAAGAACUAGAAGGUUCUAUUUUGGUUUUCCAUUGAGGUUUUUUUGGCUUACUGUACGACUUGCUAUACCUUACUAUUUCAAUUUUUACAUUUACAAAUUCCUUUUCUACAUUUAUUGUAUUUACUGACUCAUUUGAAAUUGUUUCUAGGUUUUCUUUAGCUUUUAGUUGAAUAAUAAAUUGAUUUAUUGUUUUUAUAUCUGUAAGUUUUUUUAUCAAAUUUGUUUUAUAUAGUUGUUCAAUUAUUUGUUUGUCUUUAUAGUUUUUACACAUUAUAUCAACAAAGUUUUCUUGAUCCACCUGUUCUUCUAGUAACAUUGGGUUAUUAAAUUCUUCUAACAUUAUAUUAACUAGUUCUGAAUUUUUGUAUAGGUUUUCUACUGUUUCGAUGUUUAAUAAAAUAUCUUAUUGUAUAACAUUUAUAGAUUUUAUCUCACUAUCUGACUCUACCUCUACAUUUACAAUUUUAUAGUUUCCAAAAGUUAUACUUGCACUUCUAUCUUGAUUUUCAUAUAAACUACUAGAUGUUGAAUAUUUUAUUACUGGUUUAUUUAUUUAGGGUAAUUUUCAUUCCCAUCCUAACAAAUAGUCUAUCUUUACAGGUUUUGCUUCUAUCAUAUUUACAGACUUAUUUCCAAAGGUUUUUACUCUAUCAUCAAAUUCCAUCAUACAUUUCAAACUUAGAGCAUUAGUGGUUUUUCCUAUAAAUCCUAUAAUUAUGUUAAGGUUCUUACUUCUUAAUUCCAUAUCAUAACCUUUAGUAUUUACAAUUAUUUUUAUUUUUUUUGUGAAUUCCUCUAGAUCUAUACAAAUUUGAGGUAUACAACCAAGAACUACAUAAUUUUGGUUCAUAUUAACUUUUGUCUUAGCUAAAAGAGCUCAUCUUAGUGUAUUAUUUCUAGUAUUUAAAAGGUUAAUAUUUGUAAGUGCUCCAAUUUUUUUACGAUGGAGUUUUAUUAUUCCUAUUAGAAUUAUUCUUAAAUGCAUAUAUUUAUUGAUUUUAACUUUUAAUAGUUUAUGUUUUGUUUUUUAAGAGACUAGGUCUAAAUAUACAAUAUUUCCUAUUGAACUUAUAAUAUGUUGAUUUAAAAAUCUAGUUAUUUUAGAAUUUUGAACUAAUUGUUUUUUGUAAGGUAUUACUUCCUUUUCUACCCUUUUUAAUUUUUCUUCGACAAAUUCUUUUACAUUAUCUUUAGGAUUUAUAGCUUCUACUAUUUACAUGGUUUUAUUGCUAAACUUUUUUGUUCAAAAUGAUUUAUUUUUCGUUCUGUUCUAAUUACUAAUUUUUCUUCUAAAUUAAAGUUUUCAAAUUAUUUUAAAAGGUUAUUUAAUUUUUGGUUUUUUUUUUGGAAAUCCUAUCUUUCUUUGGUCUAAAAGUUUAUCUACUUUUUGGUUAACAUGUUUCUUUCAAAUUUUGUUGUUGUAACUUUAUUUGUUCUAUUUCUUUUCUAAAUAUAUAUAUAUAUUUAUUAUGUAUUUUUAUUUAUAUUAAAUUUAUUUAAAAAAUAAAUAAAAAUAUGUAGACCGGCCCCAAGGGCGAGUCCAUAGAGCCUCAACGGCUCUAGAAGCGUCGGAAGCUUCUGGAAGCUCCCACACCCCCUUAUUACAACAAUGAAGCCCUAGUUCUCCCAAAUACUAAACACUAUACUCUGUUCGCCUCCUCGGUCCUUAUCCACAAACCACCACCCAAAAACCCUUUCACCACCGAAAGGCCUAAUGGCUUCCGCCAAUGCUAUCUCCACAGCGUCAAUUAUCCGCUCUCCCAAACAGGUAUGUACCCAACUGACUGUUUCUGGGUUUCGGAUUUUCUGUUGGGUUGCUCUGGAAACGGCUGGGAAAUAAGAUAAAAUCAUUUCUUGAGUCAUUUGUUCUCCGUUGUUGAAGAUGUAUAUUUCUCCAAUAGUUUUGUGAGUUGUGUUAUCCGUUUUGGAAGGUUUGGGCAUUUUUGCUUUGUAAUUUCUCUGUAUUGUCAAAAACUUAUCAAAAAAAAAUUCUGUAUUGCCAAAAGGGUUCUAUAGCUCAACCGAAUUCUAGAUGCUCGGGAAAAUUAGGGGAUUCUCUGGAAGAAAUACGGGUAGCAUACACAAAAUUUGUGCAGGGUCUUUGAAUUGUUGUUAUUCCCAAAAUAUUCGUUUCUUCAUUGGGUUUAAUCUCAAAAUUAUCAGAUGAUUGAUAGUAUUCUCAUUAUUGCUAUUAUAUUGACGCAGGAGAGCUUCAGAAGGAGGGUGAACCAACAACAAGGGCCGAAAUUUAAUUACAGGCCAUCAAACAAUCGGUUUGUGGUUCGUGCCUCCGCUAAGGAAAUUGCAUUUGACCAAAGUUCAAGGGCGGCGCUUCAGGCUGGCAUUGAUAAGCUUGCAGAUGCCGUGGGGCUUACUCUUGGUCCUAGAGGUUUCUUUUCUUCUCUCUUCACAAAUCAACGGCAUGUAUAUUGUUGUACUUUGCCUUCUAUUUUGAUGUUUGAAAUAGAUUUGCGAAUUUAUGGUGUGGUUAGGUGCUAUAUGAUUGGAAACCUGAUUGUUGCAAAUGGGAUGUCUUUGUAAAUAGUAAAUUUUUCUUUUGUGAUUUGCGUUUCUGGGUUUCUUUUCUUGAGGUAUUAUAUUGCGAGGAUGGCUUGAUCAUUGUUGUCAUGGAAUUUAGGCUAGGAAAUGUCCCUAUGCUUGUAGCCUGGCUUAGGGAUGAUUGGGAAGAGGUGAUAGGGAUGAAUGCUUGAAUUAACUGAUAAAACUUAUUUUGCAUUUUGAAGGAAGGAAUGUUGUCCUGGAUGAAUUCGGGAGCCCCAAGGUGGUGAAUGAUGGGGUAACAAUUGCCCGAGCUAUUGAGCUAGCUGAUGCUAUGGAAAACGCUGGUGCAGCUCUCAUUAGAGAGGUUAGACCUUUCCUUUUUCUCAGUUUUCCCACUCGAAAAUAGUGGUUAUGUUUUUCUAAUCUUCUAUAACUUGUUGAUGUCAAAUUCUGUUACUUUGGAGUUGAGAUUUGUUUGUUUAUUAAUGUGUUUUAACCUUUUAUAAAGGUUGCAAGUAAAACCAAUGACUCUGCUGGUGAUGGCACAACAACUGCCUCUGUUCUUGCCCGAGAAAUAAUCAAACUGGGCCUGUUGAGUGUUACCUCUGGUGCAAAUCCAGUCUCCAUAAAGAAGGGAAUUGACAAAACAGUACAUGAGUUAGUGAAGGAGCUGGAGAAGAAAGCCCGACCUGUUGAAGGCGGUGACGAUAUCAAAGGUAGUAUGCUAGCUAUGUGUCUUAGGUCAAUUUGCUCCAAUAUUAAAGGACUCUAUUUAUUGAUUCCCUUCAUGGAAUCCAUAACCUUUUUUUUUUUUUGCAUUGCAGCUGUUGCUUCUAUAUCUGCGGGAAACGAUGAGUUCAUUGGGUCCAUGAUCGCAGAUGCAAUUAAUAAGGUUGGGCCUGAUGGUGUUUUGUCCAUUGAGUCAUCAUCCUCUUUUGAAACAACUGUUGAUGUCGAAGAAGGAAUGGAGGUCUGAAUGUUCUUCUAAUGUGUGACUAGAUUUCAUUUUUUUUCCUUUCUUCUAUACUUUAUUUUUGACUGUUGUUGUGACCCUUUGCCACAGAUUGACAGAGGAUAUAUCUCCCCACAGUUUGUUACAAACCCUGAGAAACUGAUUGCUGAAUUUGAGAAUGCAAGAGUGUUGGUCACUGAUCAGAAGAUCACAACGAUAAAGGACAUAAUUCCCCUGCUAGAGAAGACCACUCAGCUGAGAUCUCCUCUGCUUAUAGUUGCUGAGGAUGUCACUGGAGAAGCUUUGGCUACUCUUGUUGUGAACAAGCUCCGGGGAAUACUUAAUGUUGCUGCCAUCAAAGCCCCUGGUUUUGGUGAGAGGAGAAAGGCUCUCCUUCAAGAUAUUGCUAUUAUGACAGGUACUGAUGUUCUCUGGAACAUAAUGUGCUUAAAGUGUGAUUAUUAUUUUACUUUGUACGCAUGAGCUUCUGCUGUUUCCAUAUCCUUAAGUGUGCUGUGGUUAGACUAUUUACUGUUAUUUACCUUGGAUCAUGGAUACUUCAUGUGGUCUUUGGAUGACAUAUUAUUAAAAUGGUCAUCUGGCAUUUUCUGGUAGAAUGAGAAAUUUAGUAAAAGAGGUUGUAAAAUGCUGAGUUUCUUAGAACAAUUUUUUUUUUUGUUUCAAAAAGGUGUUGAUACUAGAGGACCUUUUCAAUUGAAGCUCAUUGAUUAUAGAGAACCUGCCAAAGUGACUUAAUUGUUUCCCUUAUUCAAGAAAUCUGCAUAUCAUGAGAAGCCACACAAUCUUAACUUAUCAGACUGAUAUGAAUGCAUUUCAUUUUGUUUUUACUUGGUGGGCUGAUCUUAUUCCUUUCAAUGUUUAGGAGCUGAGUUUCAGGCCAAUGAUCUGGGUUUGCUUAUUGAGAAUACCUCAGUUGAGCAGCUUGGUUUGGCAAGGAAGGUGACCAUUACCAAGGACUCAACCACCAUCAUUGCUGAUGCUGCAUCAAAGGAUGAGAUACAGGCUAGGAUUGCUCAGAUAAAAAAAGAGUUGGCUGAGACAGAUUCCGUUUAUGAUACAGAAAAACUGGCUGAGAGAAUUGCCAAAUUGUCAGGUGGGGUUGCUGUUAUAAAGGUGGGGGCUGCAACAGAAACAGAGCUUGAGGACCGUAAGCUUCGUAUUGAGGAUGCUAAGAAUGCAACUUUUGCUGCCAUAGAGGAAGGGAUAGUGCCUGGUGGUGGUGCUGCAUUCGUUCACCUGUCAACUUAUGUCCCUGCAAUUAAGGACAAGCUCGAAGAUGCAGAUGAACGUCUUGGUGCUGACAUUGUGCAGAAGGUAACAAUUGUAAAAUCUUUGUUCCUAUCAGGCAUUUUAGGAAGGGCAUGCUCUAGCUAGCAGCAUUAAACUGAACUUAAAUUAGCUUGUCCAACAAUUCAAUCUGUUGAAAUAUGGACUUUGAUGGUAGUAAAUCAUUUUCAUGACACCAAACAAGGACUUUAGUAAUUGACCAUGUCUUGUUCUGCUUGUUUUUGGGAGAUGGAGCUGAACCAAUCUGUUCCAUGCAGGCACUGGUGGCACCAGCAUCAUUGAUAGCCCACAAUGCUGGAGUUGAAGGAGAGGUGGUUGUAGAGAAGAUAAAGGCUUGUGAAUGGGCAGUCGGGUACAAUGCAAUGACAGACAAAUACGAAAACCUGGUGGAGGCUGGAGUCAUUGACCCUGCCAAGGUUGCCAGAUGUGCUUUGCAGAACGCAGCAUCGGUUGCAGGAAUGGUCCUGACCACACAAGCCAUUGUUGUGGAAAAGGCCAAGCCAAAGGCACCUGUGGCUGCUCCCCCACAAGGUCUUACCAUAUGAUUGCUAGUAUUUCUUAGCCCUAGUUAGGAUUUCAGAGAUGAGGGUUUUCCAGGGGAGUGAAUCUGCGAAAAGAAAUGCUGGAAAAAAAUCUGCUCUGUUUGAGGCAAAUGGGGCCUUUUUUGUACGGAUUUAGACAUUGAUUAUCUGUUUUAAUAUGGUAGUAGCAGGUAUAGAACUUUGUUAAUAGCUUUUGCAUCAUAAAAUCCACCCUGGUUGUGUCCUUUAUUAUUGGUCAUUUUGGUUUUCUCUUUCAUGUGUCUGGCCUGGUAGAGGGUUCAACUUAAACCGAAUGGUAGUGAAUGCAUAUGGGCUGGCGGCACUGCAUACUGACAAACUAAAUUACUGUUAAAGAUGGCUUCGGUAUUAUUUUUCACAGGAGGCACAGAAGGCGGAAAAUGUAGCUAUGAUAUUUGAUAUCAUACUUCUUUCAUUUUUUUUUUUGAAAACACCUAUUUUCCUAGGAUUAUUUUUUGAAGAAUUGAAAUUUUUGGUGAGUGAUAUCUGCCUAACGAAGAACCUGGUGUGGCUUGCUUAACGCAACAUGUGGCUCCUCCUUUAAUCCUUUCAAGAGUCUCAGAUUCUUAUUUAAUAAGCAACUUACCCAGCCUACUGUCUGGACUUCUACAAGCUAUUCAUGGACCUCCCAAGAAGAUACACAUGGAAACGCCCUAAUGGCCGCCUAUGUCAGCCAAAUUUUGUGUAUGUUAUAGUGAAGGUUCGGUCCUUCAGAGCAAGCACUAAAAUAUUGGAAAUCUUAUAUAUAUAUAUAUAUAUAUCAGUCCAUGGAUUUUAUGGAAAUAUUGGAUGAAAAUUUGGAAAAAAAAUAAAAUUGAUCAAUAUUCACAUAAAGGUUUAAAAAAACUAUAAGAAAUUUAAAAAAAAUAAAAAAUAAUAAUACAUAUAUUAAAAUUGUUUUAUUGAUAAAAAUAAUAUACAUAUAUAAUAAUUUGUGACAUUUAAAAAUAAUAUAAAAUUUUCUAAAACACUUUCAAUACUAAAGUGAUGAUAUGUUUCAUAUACAAGAUAUAAAAAAUUAUAUAUGUAUGCAUUUUUUGAGUUAAAAAAUAUUAAUAUUUUUUUUACAAGUUUAUAUUUCUCUUGUAUCUAAUUAAUAUAUAAAAUAUAUAAAGAAGAAUCGUUAAUAAGAUUAUUAUUAUGUUUAUGUAUUUUAAAUUAAAUAGAAUUUGAAAAAUAAAAUAAUUAAAAUUAAUUUAACUUAAGAUAAAAUUUAGGGGGACAAAUAAUUUCUCUCUCCCUCUCUUUCUCUAUAUAUAUAUAUAUUAGAAGCUAAAGUGGCUUCAUUAGUCAUUGGUUAGCAGCACAUUGUGCACAGUGGAGACUGUUAAUUAUAAGCACUCGUUGAGCAUGUAAUUCAUAAAUAAACACUUUAUGGAUAUAAUCAUGCAUGACAGAGAUACUAUCUCCGAAGAGGACGUUAAGAUACCUUCAAAUUGAAAGAAUUUGAACAAAAGGAUGUCUAUGGGUAGAACAAGUUUAUUUAAUUCUAGUACAAGUGUCUUUCUAGUUAUUAUGAGUAACUCAUGUGAUGAGCGGAACUUUAAUUCAAUGUGCUCCUAUCAUAUAUUUGAUUUAGUAUCUACCAACUUAUAGAUUGUGGGAAGGUUCUUAUAGGAAAUAAUAGGCUAUUAAGAUAGAAAUGAUUUGAAUUACAAUACAUGAUGGUUUCAUAAUGGCAAUGAUUAAUGUAAUACAUGUUUUAGAGUUUAAGAAAAAUUUGGUUUCUUUGAGUACACUUGACUCUAAUGGAUGCGCUUAUAAAUUGGAGGUGGAGUUACUAGAAUUCCAAAAGAGUAAAAAGUUAAUGUUUUUAUACAUUAUCAAGUAGCAUAAUUAUAGGUUUGCAAUUACAAUUACAAUUUCAACCUUAAAAUUAAUAUUAGAGACUACUAGAUUGUGACAUAUGCGACUUGGGCAUGUAAGUGCAAGAGGAAUAACAAUUUGAGCAAACAAGAUUUGCUUGAUGGAUAGAAAAUGUGAGAGCUGGAUUUUGUAAGCAUUGUGUGUUUAAGAAAUAAUGUAAGGUUAAAUUCAAUUUGAUCAUUCAUAAGACUAGAGGUAUUUUGAAUUACAUUUAUUUAUAUUUUUGUGGCUCUCCUUGAGUUAUAUCAAAGAUAAUGGAAGAUAUGCAUCGACUUUUAUAGAUGAUUACUUUGGAAAGUUUUGAGUAUAUAUCUUGAAGAAUAAGAAUGAUGAUUUUGAGAAGUUCAAAUAAUGAAAAAUCAUGAUUAAGAAGCAGAAAAGAAAAUAGAUUAAGCACUUGAGAACUGACAAUGAAAAUGGACAAAAAUAAAGAGAAUUCUAUUGAAAAUUGUUUAAUAAAUUCCACAUGAAUGAAGGUAUUGCACGAUAUUGUAUAGUUCUGCAUACUCUGAAGUAAAAUGGUAUGACAAAAUAAACGAGUAUAACUCUUUUAUAUAAACAUGAUGUAUGAUUUCAAAUAUAGGGUUGUUGAAGAAAUUUUGGGCUUAAGUAGUUAAAUCAAUUUUGUCAUUUUAUGAAUAGAUUUCCUUCAAUAUCUAUUCAUUGUAGGACUCAUCAAAAGGUAUGGUUUAGUUUUUUUGUUAAUUAUACAAAUUUAAGAAUUUUUUGUUGUCUUGCUUAUGCUUAUAUAAAUGAAGGCAUGCAAGAUGGAAUCAAAUGUUAGAAAGAACAUUUGUAGGGUAUAUAGAUGGUCUAAAAACUAAAAAGGUAUAAGUUGUGGUAUCUAUAUUCAAAAUCCUUUGAAUUUGUUAUUAACACUUAAAGCUUUAAGAAUAAUAAAAAGGAAACCUUUUGUAAAACCAAAUGAGAAAGAGAUGUAACAUCAUAAUAAUAAAGAAAAUACACCACUAAGUAACAAUACGACUUGGAUAAGGAAUAAAGAAAACCACCACAUGCUAGUAAUGAUUUUAUUGUUUAUGCACUUAGAGUGACUACACAAGUAAUUUAAAAGAUCACUUAAGUAGAGAGCACAAUAAAUACGAACAUUAAGUUUAUUUCUGCAUUUAAAUUUAAGGAUUAUCUUAACUUAAUUGAUGACUUUAAUCCCCAGAGACCCUUUAUAGAUGUGGGAGCAAUGUGAUAGAGAAGACUUUCUAAUUUGUUUGAAACUUAAGGGAUUUAAGCCAAGAUGAAGGUCAUUAAAAAUUAUUUCAAAAACUUUUUUUUAAGUCGAUUUGUAAGUUUUUAACAUUUUUCUAUAAGAAUAUAUUUUUGGAAGGGACUUUCCUAAGAAAUAUCCUAUCAUAAAAAUUUGUUAUGAUAAUAUAUACUAUUAAUAUUCAAUUUCUUAUAUGAAAAAAAAAAUUGAUUGAAAAGGAGUUAAUAAAUUUUGAUAAUUCAAGGUUUUAAAAAAUCAUUAUUUUUUUAAUACAAACCUUUAACAAUUCUUUCAACCUAUAUAAAAGUUACUGUUAUUAUAAAUCUUUAAAAUAGAUGUUUUUUUACAUUAAAACAUUAUGUGUUCUAUUUCCCAAUGUACAACCACUUCAAUAUCAAAGUUGCACUAGAAACAAUAUUUUGAAAAACAAACUUACGCAAAACAUUAGCUUUAAAAUCUUGGAGAAGUGUUCUAUUAAGAUGAUAGUUUUAAAAAUUUUCCUCCUGUUUUAUGCAAAUAAAAUCUUAUUAAAUACGACGAACAAAAAGGAGAUUUAUCCCAUAUACAUAGGGAGACAUGUAAAAGAUACUAACUAUGCUAUGUACCUUAUUCCCGAGGAAGGUGUGGAUCCCGCAUUUCGGCUCAUGCGUUUCCCACUUGAUGGCGAGCUCGAUUUUUAUUUGAAAAAUUAUGAUUUUUAUUUAUUAAGAAAAAUGACUUGGAGUCGCCACUUAUUUUUGUUUUAUUUUUUGAAGGGUAAACAAAAUAAGAAAGAAAACCCUAAGUGUGACUCCUUAUUUGGAAAAGACGGUCUGUGAAAAAUCGGAUCGGGUUCGGGGGUCAGGUUACUUAUCGGGAAGGUACGGUAAAGACCGUAGCACCCCUUUAAGUCCCUAAAGACGGGCCUCUACUAAUAAAAUGAAGUUGACAUGGCAAUUGAUAAGGAAAUCAAUGAAUACCCGGAACUAUCAUACACAUAUAAGAAUCAAAAUAUGCAUAGAGAAUAACCAAAGUGGAAGUGGGUGCGUACCUGGUCAGCAAACGGCAACGCGCUAUCACAAAAUAGGGUUAGUGCAUAGUAAUGAACAUAAAGUAUGUCACUCAUAUCAUCAAAUAGAAAGAAUCACCAAUAGCACGCAUGACAUUUCAUUCAAAUUCAUUUUAUUUUGAAGAAAAUUUAUUGAUGUAAGGCCCUCACCAAAGCCUGUUUAUUUUGCAUGAAUUAAUUCUGUGAACUCCAUCACUCGGAAUUACAGAAUUUAAAUUCAUGCUUAUUUUAAAACAUUUUAAAAACAUGAAAAAUUCGAAAGUUGCUCGCCGAAAAGAAAAUGGCGGCCCAAAUUUGUUGAAAAUGGGAUCUUGGGAACCCCAAGAAAAUGCUCUAAGGAUGGAGAAAAAGGUGGAACGUCGGCCGGACAGAAUUUCGGAUGCUAGAUAUCCGGAGAAGGUUGAACGUCGACGGACAGGAUUCCGGAUGUGAGAUAUCCGGAGAAGGUGGAACGUCGGCUGGGUAGAAUUUCAGAUGUGAGAUAUCCGGGUGGAAUGUCGGCGGAGAAGAAUUCCGGAUGUGAGAUAUCCGGGUGGAAUGUCGGCGGGGAAGAAUUCCGGAUGUGAUACAUUCGGGUGGAAUGUCGGGGGAGAAGAAUUCCGGAUGUGAUACAUCCGAAUAAGGCAGAACGUUGGCAGGGCAGGAUCCGAAUGUGAGACAUCUGGGUGGAAUGGCGGCGGAGAGGAAUUCCGGAUGUGAGACAUCCGGAUAAGGUAGAACGUUGGCCGAGCAGGAUUCCGGAUGUGAGACAUCCGGAUGGAAUGGCGGCGGAGAGGAAUUCCGGAUGUGAGACAUCCGGAUAAAGUAGAACGUUGGCCGGGCAGAAUUCCGGAUAUGAGACAUCCGGGUGGAAUGGCGGCGGAGAGGAAUUUCGGAUGUGAGACAUCCAGAUAAGGUAGAACGUUGGCCGGGCAGAAUUCUGGAUGUGAGACAUCUGGGUGGAGUGAGCGAUGAUUUCCGUUCGGGUGGAAUGAGCUAUGCCACGCUUCGCAAGGGGGCCGCCUGCUUGCACAAGGAAGAGAGAGAGCCACGUGUCAUUUUUUUAGGGAAGAUCCCACAAGUAGGUGAAAGUUUAGAGAGAGAAACGGGUUUGGUGGGUCGUAUGGAUAUGGAGGCUUGGGUGAGUGGUUUUAAUGGGUAUGCGAAAUAGUAAAGGAUAGCAUGCACCCGUGAGACUCCAUGUAAGUGGGGAAGUGGGAUGGAGAAUGAAUGAGAGGAAAAUAGGUGUAGUGGAGGAUGCCUGAUUCCUGCAAGCUUGAAUGAGGAAAUGAGUAUGACGACCUAAAGAGAGAGGUGUAUAGAUGAACGAUGGGUAUGGUGGAUAAAGGAAAAGAACAUGGGGAUGAGAUGACGACACGCUUGCAUGAGAAUAGAAAUAAUAGGAUAGCAACAAGAAGAAGAACAUGAAGACUUUAACCAGCAUAUCGGACCCAUUUCAUCGUUUCAUCCAUGGGUCCAACAUCCAGUGAGUUAUGAUGGAAAACACUUGUCAGAAUAGGGCAUAAAACACAGCAAACUCUUUCAAUAUUUAAUCAGUAAUCACCCAAAACAGAACAACCCAACAAGCAGACAUGAAAAAUCACUAACAAUCAGACCUGGACAAUAUGAAAAAAAAUGGAAAAUAUACACAAAAAAACAAAUGGUCAUACCUGGAAAUCUCCCUUCUUACCUCCGUGUCCUGGACUUUUGCCAGCAACUCUACACUCCUCUGUUCUUAGCUUCCUACUGUAGUUCAACCCAUACCUUUUUUCUCAAAACUCUCAGAAAAACUCCUCACAUUUUUCUUUUGUUUCAUUUCCACUCUCUUUUCUCUGUAUCUCGGAUUUGCCUUCCCCCCCCCCCCCCCCCCCCAAAUGCUCUCUCUUUUCUUUUCUCUUUUUCUUCUUUUCCUGUAUCUCGGAUUUGCCUUCCCAGUGAUCUCUGUCGCAGCCACCUUUUUUUCCUGCCACACUCCUUCUGCAGCCACCUUUUCUGCCUGCGGGACCCCCCCUCCAGAAAGUUCUUCCACAUGUCAAAGUCCUAUUGCAGCUUCAAAAAGCGAGGUUGAUUCCUUAUGGUCAUUAAGGAUGUGACACGUGGCUAAAAUGUGAUCUGCAAAAACAAAUAGAGAAAAAGUGACCCAUGCCUAAAUGGGGGUCUACAGAAGGGCAUUUAGGUUUGUUCUUUUCUUGGUGGUAAUGGAAAAAUUAUAUUCCGUAAAACAAAAAGAAAUAAAUUUUAUAUUAGCAAGUAUCAAGGAUAAAAUUAUUGGUUUUGAUAUAUAUAUCAAUAAUUCGAGUUUAUGGAUAUAUUGAGAUAUAUUAAAAAAUAUAGUAGGAUAUUUUGAUAAAAAAUAUCAAUAACAUAAAAAUUAAUGAAAACUCAUGAAAAUAUUAUGAAAAACUCUAUACAUAUGUGUAAGCUUAUUUUUUAGGUUUGACCAUGUUUGACCAACAAUAGCUAUUGUUUGUCCAAGUUAGCCCCUUGUUGACCAAAUCAAAAUAAGCCCAAAAAUUGAUGAAAAAAAAAAUCGAUAAUUCUUGAAAUAUAUCCAAAAAAUCACUAAAUCGAUAUUUCCCCAUGAUGUUUUGCUUCAAUGACAACCAAAUCAAGAUUUUGACGAAAUAUCAUUGAAAAAUCAUGAUUUUUUUCAUCUUGAGUUGAUCUCAUUUUUAUGGGCAAAUGCACCCAUAUUUGUUCAUCAUUUAAAGGCCCUAUUCCUCCAAAAUUUCCUUUAUUCAUUUUGUCUUCCUUUAUAGGCUUAUCCAUUUUUUUUUAUUAAAUAAAUAUAAGAAUUUGAAUAUUACUAAGACAAGAAACCCAUUAUUAUGUCUCCACACCAAAGUUAAAUACGGUACUUAAAUAAUUUUUUUCAAUCAUAAAAUGUCUAUUGGCACAUACAAAACAUUUAGUUUUAUGAUGUAAUCUCAUUGUGCAUAAAAUCAAUACAUUGUGUGUUUGUAAUAAAUACAAACGGAUCGUUUAUUAAGAUAAGAUAAUAUUUUUAUGAAUUUGAUUGUAUGAUAUCUCAUAUCACAUAAAAGAAAAGCUUUUUAGCAUUAUAUAGAGUAAAUUUCUAUUUAAUCAUGAGGGUGCAUUUAUAAGUCACACUAAUCUUAAGUCAUAAAGGAGAUAAAUGGUAUUAAAAUCAAUCCUAAGCCUCGAGAUUCAAAAUAUUUAAUCAUUAGGGAGUCAACCCAAUUCCUUAAUUCUAUGGAUUCCUUUUUAAGUUUUACUAUUAUGGGUAUUACAAAUAGUAUCAAAGUCAAUUCUUAUCCCGGAUUCAAAAUUGAAAAUAUUUACAUAGAAAGGGAUCCAAUCAAAACACGUGGAAUUCAUUUGGUUGCCAAGAAAAUAUCAUAAAAUAAGAAAGAAACCUAAAAUUUCUUUUACAAUCGGAGGGUCACACCCUUUUUAACGGGUUGGGCUUUUGGGCCACCACUGAGUUAGGUGACACUGCCCAAGCCCAAUCCAGCAUAACAUGAUUAGCCAACCACAGCCCAUUGUUCAAAGGUGACUGGACCCGCAAUCUAAUAAGUCCAAAAUUGCCUGCAGUAAGAGAGAAAAUGAGAUGAUCACAUUGUUCACAUGCCUACCAAACUACACGGUCCCUGCAAAAUGGAAGAAGACCAUCAUCAGCAGUCAACAGUCAACACUCCCAAAUUUAAAUUUCCCAUUUCUUAUUCAUUAGGAUCUCCGAAAGCAAUAUAAAUUAUCAUAGAAAAAUUGAAAAUUGUUUUUUAAUCAUUUAUUAUUUAUAAAAACAAGAAUAAGAUCUUCACCACCAUCUAAAUUAAAAUUCAUUUUUUUUAAAUCAAAAUUUAAUGUUCAUAUUUUUUUUAAUUUACUUUUAUCUUAAGGUAUUGAACUACCAUAAAUUACAGAUAAAUGACUCAAACCUAUGACCUCUCACUAAACCAAAUUCUAAUAUCAUAUCAAACCAUCAAUUUUCAACUUAAACUAAUAUGAUUUGAAUUCAGCAUGUAUAUUACGUUGGUUUAAGAUUUUCAAAACCAAAAUUACGAUCUUAUUUUCCGUGAAGAAACUCUGCACACUAAUGUACAACAUAGGAUCUUUCAAAAUGUUCUUCAUGUUUUCAAUUAUGUUUAUGGUAAAAAAAAUAUCAAAAAUAUUUCAAAUUUAUUCUAAAAUAUAACUUACUUUCUAAGCCCCAUAUUUUUUAGAAUAGUACAACGUGACUCUUGACUCUUGAGGGGCAUGUGGGAGCAAGUUAUGAUGUUCAACAACAUGAAAGAAAUUAAAGCAUUUGUGGGAUGAAUAGACCUCAGUGUGUUAGGAAAAGGACUGAAACGUGGGCGUGGCCGAAAAUGUCGUUGUGGACCCUCUGAGAGACUACAUCAAACUUGAACCAAUCUAGGUGCCUCACCUCACCGACCACAUUGAUGUCUUUGAAUAUGAUUGCUAGUGGAUUCGAUUAUUUUAGAAUCUGUGUUGUGGAUGUGGAAUCAUUUCUUCCCCAAUCAUUCCUCUGCCCUACAAAUUUUUCUUAUUGUAAUUGGAGCCGAGAAAAUGUUUUGGAGAGAAUGAUUGACACGUGGAAAAUGAGACAUCAUAAUCUCUUAUUAAUAUUUGUCAUUAUAUUCUGAGUAUAAUAAAACGAUUUCUGGUUAAUCAUCAUGUGAUUCUACAAAAAUCUAUGCCCUUCCUCACAGGCCCAUCCUUUGGAUUAUUCUUUAUAUUCCGUUCAAUUAUUAAAGAAAAAAAAAACGUUACGUUUGGAAUUAUUUUCCAUAAUAAUUUUUUUCUUUUUUAUAAAUAAAUAUGAAAAUAUGCUUUGAUUCUUCUUAAGAGAAUAGAGUCUUUUUAGGGAAUAUAUAUUUUUUUAAUGUUUUGAGUUGUUUUUCACUGGAAGAUUGUUUUAAAAAAAUAUGGUUAAUGGUCAGAAAAGAUCAUUAUAAAUAAAAGUCAUUUUUUAAAAAUUUGUAAAUAUAAAACACUAGUUGAGAAUAUUUUCAAUUCUCAAAUAAAAUUUUCUUUUCAAAAAUAUCAUAGAACGGCUUUUGAAAAUUAUUUUAAAAUACUCUUUCUAUUAAAAUUGUUUUUUUUUAAAAAAGGUUCUAAAAUAAACUAUGAAGGGCUAAAUUGAUGUUUAUUAAAGUAAAUAUAAGAAGAGAAAGAAAUUAUGAAAUAGUCUCGAACUUUCAUUGAUAAAGUCUCUUUACAAUAUAUACUUGUUUUGAGUAAUCAAACUAAAACUACAAAAUAUAAGAAAAAAAAACUAAAUUAACUAAAAUAAAAUAUAUAUACACUAUCAAAAUAAGAAAAAAAAAAUGAUAUAUACACUAAUUAUAGUCUUAUGAUUUUCAUAUUUGAUUGAAAUUAUUUUGCUCAUUACUUAUCACAUUUCAAAUUUGAAUAGUUGAAAAUAUAUGAUAAAAUUUGAAUCGUUAAACAAUUGUCUAAUAAAAUAAAAUCAAAUUAUAAAUUAUGAGAUUAAAGUACAAAUAAUUGGGAUCAAAAUGCACAACAAAAAAAAAAAAAAAGGAAACCCAUAUAUGGUAUAAAUAAAUAAAAUUUGGGUAUAAAAUCAUUGAAUACUCUAGUAUCGAUAAAGAUAAAGUAAGGAAGCAACUAAUAAAAUAAUUUUGUCCAUUAAAAACACGUAAAAAAGCCUAUACUUUAAUUGAUUCAAAAAGUUAAUAGAAGCAACCCUGGCCCUUAAUUGUGCUUUUGAGCCAUGGAUUGAAAUGCCAAGAUUUUCAAAAGGAAAUAUUUACAAGUAUUCACACCAAAGUCCUUUAGAAUUAUGCUUUUCCAAAGGCAUUGUCAUAUUUAGAAGUCAAGGAAACGAAAAAAGAUCAUUAGAAGCAACAAGCAUAAAUGAAUUGAUUCGAUGCCUAAAUAGACGUACAUUUUUGGUAAAGAAAAAUUUGAAUAGGCGUAUAUAACUGAUCUACUUGGGAGCACCAUCCUUGACUACGAGGACAUGUCUCCUGCAACACGUCUUUUUGGUUCAAAGUCUCUUCUUUUGUGCAAUUCCAAUUGGCCAUCACACCCAGCCCGUGGCACUUUAUGGCUUUGCUUGAUCUCCUUACACUAAAAAAUAUAUAUACAAGGGAAGUGGGUGCCCAUUUUGUGAACGGUGCCUCAUAUUCCAUAUUUCCUCCAUUGACAUUUGUCUUGUAACUUUUCCUACCUUUAAAUACCCAUAGUUUGGUUAUGAUCUUUUCUUAUAUUCUAGUGCCGGCUCUUUUGACUUUUGGAGGAUGUAUAACGAUAAAAGAAUGAACAAGUAAAUUUAAACUAUGAUUUGAGAGGAAUGCCAGCCUCCCAAAUUCCACUUGUUUUAAGAAUUCAAUCUCCUUUUUCUUGUCGAUAUCUACAAUUUGAUAUCAACUUUUCCCCUGGAA
Molecule: long non-coding RNA, 31004 nt
Filed under: Vitis vinifera (wine grape)
Lineage: Eukaryota; Viridiplantae; Streptophyta; Magnoliopsida; Vitales; Vitaceae
Description: long non-coding RNA (VVIN_LNC001933)
Source: RNAcentral